GGAAUCCACGCAGAAUCCAAGUGCCUGGGUAACGUGGCUGAGAGAGUGGCUGCGUCAGCUGAGCUGUGAGUUUCCUAAGAAACAUCAGACCCCAAAACCAACAGAGCCAAUUGUGUGAUCCUUAUGAUCAAGCAACAUGACUCUCUAGUGAUACAAGGGAAUAUUUUUGAAGAACCUAAAGCCGAUAU
This 188-nucleotide long non-coding RNA is filed under the name Struthio camelus australis. RNAcentral's name for it is "lncRNA (ENSSCUG00000010732.1)". Lineage: Eukaryota; Metazoa; Chordata; Aves; Struthioniformes; Struthionidae. The record is from RNAcentral.